AGGACGAACGCUGGCGGCGUGCUUAACACAUGCAAGUCGAGCGGAAAGGCCCUUCGGGGUACUCGAGCGGCGAACGGGUGAGUAACACGUGAGCAACCUGCCCUUAGCUUCGGGAUAGCUCCGGGAAACCGGAGUUAAAUACCGAAUAUGACUGCGGCUGACAUCAGCCACGGUGGAAAGUUUUUCGGCUAGGGAUGGACUCGCGGCCUAUCAGCUAGUUGGUGAGGUAACGGCCCACCAAGGCGACGACGGGU
RNAcentral lists this ribosomal RNA (254 nucleotides) under uncultured bacterium. RNAcentral describes it as "partial small subunit ribosomal RNA". It matches the Rfam family "Bacterial small subunit ribosomal RNA", at positions 26 to 284 of the family's 1533-position model. The record is from RNAcentral.